GAUGAACGCUGGCGGCGUGCCUAAUACAUGCAAGUCGAGCGAACGGACGAGAAGCUUGCUUCUCUGAUGUUAACGGCGGACGGGUGAGUAACACGUGGAUAACCUACUUAUAAGACUGGGAUAACUUCGGGAAACCGGAGCUAAUACCGGAUAAUAUUUUGAACCGCAUGGUUCAAAAGUGAAAGACGGUCUUGCUGUCACUUAUAGAUGGAUCCGCGCUGCAUUAGCUAGUUGGUAAGGUAACGGCUUACCAAGGCAACGAUGCAUAGCCGACCUGGGAGGGUGAUCGGCCACCCUGGAACUGAGACACGGUCCAGACUCCUACGGGAGGCAGCAGUAGGGAAUCUUCCGCAAUGGGCGAAAGCCUGACGGAGCAACGCCGCGUGAGUGAUGAAGGUCUUCGGAUCGUAAAACUCUGUUAUUAGGGAAGAACAUAUGUGUAAGUAACUGUGCACAUCUUGACGGUACCUAAUCAGAAAGCCACGGCUAACUACGUG
RNAcentral lists this ribosomal RNA (497 nucleotides) under uncultured bacterium. RNAcentral's name for it is "partial 16S ribosomal RNA". It matches the Rfam family "Bacterial small subunit ribosomal RNA", at positions 28 to 507 of the family's 1533-position model. The record is from RNAcentral.